UACGUAGGGGGGCUAGCGUUGUCCGGAAUCAUUGGGCGUAAAGAGCGUGUAGGCGGCCCGGUAAGUCCGCUGUGAAAGUCGGGGGCUCAACCCUCGAAUGCCGGUGGAUACUGUCGGGCUAGAGUGCGGAAGAGGCGAGUGGAAUUCCUGGUGUAGCGGUGAAAUGCGCAGAUAUCAGGAGGAACACCGAUUGCGAAGGCAGCUCGCUGGGACGUCACUGACGCUGAGACGCGAAAGCGUGGGGAGCAAACAGG
RNAcentral lists this ribosomal RNA (254 nucleotides) under uncultured bacterium. Its description in RNAcentral is "partial 16S ribosomal RNA". It matches the Rfam family "Bacterial small subunit ribosomal RNA", at positions 524 to 776 of the family's 1533-position model. The record is from RNAcentral.